UGGGGAAUUUUGGACAAUGGGGGCAACCCUGAUCCAGCGACGCCGCGUGAAGGACGAAGGCCUUCGGGUUGUAAACUUCUUUUAGAGGGGAUGAAUGAGUUGGUGAAUAGCCAACUGUGACCGUACCCUCUGAAUAAGCCACGGCUAACUACGUGCCAGCAGCCGCGGUAAUACGUAGGUGGCAAGCGUUACUCGGAAUCACUAGGCGUAAAGCGCAGGUAGGCGGUUGGAUAAGUUUCUUGUGAAAGCUCCCGGCUUAACUGGGAGAGGCCAAGGAAUACUGUCUGACUUGAGUGUGGUAGGGGUAACUGGAAUUCCCGGUGUAGCGGUGAAAUGCGUAGAUAUCGGGAGGAAUACCUAUGGCGAAGGCAGGUUACUGGGCCAUCACUGACGCUGAGCUGCGAAAGCUAGGGGAGCAAAC
RNAcentral lists this ribosomal RNA (421 nucleotides) under uncultured bacterium. Its description in RNAcentral is "bacterial SSU rRNA". It matches the Rfam family "Bacterial small subunit ribosomal RNA", at positions 355 to 773 of the family's 1533-position model. The record is from RNAcentral.